Molecule: ribosomal RNA, 700 nt
Filed under: uncultured Gammaproteobacteria bacterium
Lineage: Bacteria; Pseudomonadati; Pseudomonadota; Gammaproteobacteria
Description: bacterial SSU rRNA
Rfam family: Bacterial small subunit ribosomal RNA
Source: RNAcentral
UGACGCGGCGGCGGCUUACACAUGCAGUCGAGCGGAAACGAUGGGAGCUUGCUCCCAGGCGUCGAGCGGCGGACGGGUGAGUAACGCGUAGUGAAUCUACCCAGAUAGAGGGGGAUAGCCCGGGGAAACUCGGAUUAAUACCGCAUACGCCCCACGGGGGAAAGGCCGGGAUCUUCGGACCUCGCGCUAAUCGAUGGGCCUGCGUAAGAUUAGCUAGUUGGUGAGGUAAGAGCUCACCAAGGCGACGAUCUUUAGCUGGUCUGAGAGGAUGAUCAGCCACACUGGGACUGAGACACGGCCCAGACUCCUACGGGAGGCAGCAGUGGGGAAUAUUGGACAAUGGGGGCAACCCUGAUCCAGCCAUGCCGCGUGUGUGAAGAAGGCCUUCGGGUUGUAAAGCACUUUCAGAUGUGAGGAAAGGUUGUGUGCUUAAUACGUACAAUACUGUGACGUUAGCAUCAGAAGAAGGUGCGGCCAACUACGUGCCAGCAGCCGCGGUGACACGUAGGCACCAAGCGUCGUCCGGAUUUAUUGGGCGUAAAGAGCUCGUAGGCCGGUCAGUAACGUCGGGUGUGAAAAACUCUGGGCUCAACCCAGAGACGCCACCCGAUACUGGUGUGACUAAGAGGUGCGGGAAGGGAGCGGGGAAUUCCAGUGGUACGGUGAAUGGGAGAUUUAGGAAGACACCAGUGCGAGGGCG